This 502-nucleotide ribosomal RNA is filed under the name uncultured Glomeromycotina. Its description in RNAcentral is "partial small subunit ribosomal RNA". It matches the Rfam family "Eukaryotic small subunit ribosomal RNA", at positions 591 to 1092 of the family's 1831-position model. The record is from RNAcentral. Lineage: Eukaryota; Fungi; Glomeromycota.
CCAAUAGCGUAUAUUAAAGUUGUUGCAGUUAAAAAGCUCGUAGUUGAACUUCGGGAUUUGCCCAUUGGUCAGGCUUAAUUGUCUGUACUGGUGUGUUAGAUCUCUACCUUCUGAGGAACUUUCAUGCCAUUUAUUUGGUGUGUUGGGGAAUCAGGACUGUUACUUUGAAAAAAUUAGAGUGUUUAAAGCAGGCUAACGUCUGAAUACAUUAGCAUGGAAUAAUGAAAUAGGACGGAAUGGUUCUAUUUCGUUGGUUUCUAGGAUCACCGUAAUGAUUAAUAGGGAUAGUUGGGGGCAUUAGUAUUCAAUUGUCAGAGGUGAAAUUCUUGGAUUUAUUGAAGACUAACUACUGCGAAAGCAUUUGCCAAGGAUGUUUUCAUUAAUCAAGAACGAAAGUUAGGGGAUCGAAGACGAUCAGAUACCGUCGUAGUCUUAACCAUAAACUAUGCCGACUAGGGAUCGGACGAAGUUAAUUUUAUAAUGACGCGUUCAGCACCUUACG